RNAcentral lists this long non-coding RNA (3841 nucleotides) under Olea europaea subsp. europaea. The record is from RNAcentral. Lineage: Eukaryota; Viridiplantae; Streptophyta; Magnoliopsida; Lamiales; Oleaceae.
UAUAUGGCCAUGGCAGAUAACAGGCAAAGGUUUGUGCCCUUACCAGAUGAUCGUUUACCGGGACGAGGCCAACAACUGGCUCAUCCAGAAGCAGUCCUUCUUGUGAAUCCUGUGGAGCCAGAAUUUAAAGGAGAGGUACAAUACUUUUUCAAGUUUAUUGAUUUUAUCUGUUGGAGGCUUCAACCAUCGCGAAUCAUUGGAAAAGCAAUUGUUGUUCAAUGAGGGAACGCUAAUCCUUUUAGGACAUUUGAACACCAUCACUUUUGAGUGACCCAAUCCCCGGGCUUCAGAGGGACAUUGUUUCUCCCCAGCAAUCACACCCUCAACAUGACGCUCUCGUUGCACAGACCCCAUGAACACGGCAAUAAUACAACUUCUUGGUUUGGGAGUUAAAUCUCAUCUGAAAAUCGAAUAUUGUCCAGUCAGGGAAGGAUAAACCUUUUAAUGCAUUCGACCGCCAUUAUUUGAGUGACCUAUUCAUGCACUUAAGAAUGGCAUUGUUGCUCCCCAACAGUGUCAUAUUCUUAAAUGUGUAUAUUCACCUUUUAUUUUGCUCUUUAAUUAACUCAGGUGGAUGAUAAGUAUCAGUACUCGUGCGAUAACCAAGAUCUUAAACUUCACGGCUGGAUAUGUAUGGAUCCACCUGUUGGGUUUUGGCAGAUCAGUCCUAGCAGUGAGUUCCGAUCAGGAGGACCUCUCAAACAAGAUCUUACUUCACAUGUUGGCCCAACUACUCUCGCUGUAAGUAUGUACUAACAAGUAUUUGAUUAGUUAUAAAAGCUGCAUAACUCGAUCAAUACGUUAUACUGUAUGGUAUUUUCAGAUGUUUAUUAGUGCUCACUAUGCCGGGAUCGAUCUGGUGCCUAAAUUUGGGGAAGGUGAGCCAUGGAAGAAAGUCUUUGGUCCAGUUUUCAUGUAUCUCAAUUCUAAUAUGGAAGGUGACAACCGGCUUUCUCUCUGGGAGGAUGCAAAGAAACAGGUUCAAUAUAUGUAUAUAUCAACGCCUGAAUAUGCAUGACACAUAUGACCGUAAAUUCAUAUAUAAUAAUGAAUCAGAUGCUGGAAGAAGUUCAAAGUUGGCCAUAUAGUUUUCCAGAAUCUGAAGAUUUUCCACCAGCAGCUAAACGUGGCAAUGUUAGUGGCAGGUUAUUAGUCAAAGACAGGUAACUGCAUUUCUAGGUUGAUUUUCAUUCGGAUUUUGAAUAGAUCAAUUAAUAUCAUUGGGACGCUAUUUCUAGUCUGAACUUUUUGAAGGGAUUGUAAAUCUUAUCAAAUUCAGGUAUAUUAGUCAUAAUUAUAUUCCAGCAAGAGGUGCAUAUGUAGGCUUGGCUCCACCGGGAGUUGGAUCUUGGCAAAGAGAAUGCAAGGUGAUUUUUUCAUGAAUACCAUAUCCUGUGGAUUAUUUAUUAUAAAAUACAAACGUACGAGGGGACGUUCCUCUAGCUAAUGAAGGCACAAUCUCAUGUACCCUUUUCAUGCUUUGCUUAAUCAUCCGUCUUAUCACAAACUUCGUAGGCUCCUCAUAAUUGUCCUCCUUGGAGUACGUCAAUAUAGGUCUAAAACCAAUUUCGGGAUUCUCCAUCUCUCGAUGCAUAUAUGCAAAUGAGUGAAAGUUGUACAUGUCGGGAAUUUACUUAAUCAUGCACAAAGGAUAAUAAAACAAAUUUCAAUUCCCACCAAAAAUCUGCUCUGUGUUUAAAUAACAAUUAUACCUUUCUUGAAAUCUGCAAACUGAUUUGCGUUUCUUUUGUUUUAACAAUCUUGAUCUGCCAUCCACAACUGUUUAAUUGUCCAGCUUCCAAUGAAAUUUCACACAGGAAACAAGAUUAAGUGAGAACCAAGUUUACUUUUUUGAUCUGCCAUCUACAGCUGUUUAAUUGUACAAAUUUUUGAACCCCAUUUAAUUCAUUUCCUCCUGUAUACGGUCUUUUAGAAUAUUUAUAAUAAUUGUGGGAAUAUUCAUGAUCCAGAAAAUACUUCAUGUACAAACUCCUCCAUAGAAAUCUAAGUUUGACAAUACGGUUCCUAAAAUGAUAGAUAAGCCAAUUUUUCGUUUCAAUGUAUCUUAAGUUGCAAAUGAGAGCAAUAAGAGAUUUAAGAGGACUAGAGGAGCAUUGCUUAGUUUUUGGUAUGACAUUUAACAAAUGCCCACCAUUUCAAAAACUGUAUAAUAAGUUUUGUUUUGCUACAGGACUAUCAAUUCUGGACAAGAGCAGAUGAAGAAGGCUAUUUUUCCAUUAAAAACAUCCUUACCGGGGACUAUAGUCUCCAUGCAUGGGUACCGGGAUUCAUAGGAGAUUACUUAAAUAAAAAUUCUAUUACCAUAACAUCAGGUUGCUUCAUUAAUAUUGGCAACCUUGUCUACAAGCCCCCAAGAAAUGGACCAACCUUGUGGGAAAUCGGCAUCCCUGACCGUUCUGCUAGAGAAUUUUACAUCCCCGAUCCCAACCCUAAAUAUAUCAACAAACUUUAUAUCAAUCAUGACAGGUUAGUAUUCCUUGUAACAUUUUAUUUAUGUAGCCGAUCCCAAAGUUAUUGACAAUAAGGUUUAAUUUGUUAUGUUUUUAUCUGUUCUCAAUUUCUAAGACACAGUAAAUUUACUUGCGGAUGUGUAUCCUAUCCUCAGGUUUAGACAGUAUGGAUUAUGGGAAAGAUACACAGAGUUGUAUCCUAACGGUGAUUUGGUCUACACAGUUGGUCAGAGCGAUUACACGAAAGAUUGGUUUUUUGCACAAGUUACCAGGUUAACGUAAUUUCUAAUCAUCUUAAAUUUACUCAGUUUCAAUACGUAUCUGUAUUGGAAUAUAAUCAUGUUUUGGGAAAAUUCUAACUAUCGAUGUGGAUUAAAAUCAGAAUUUUGGUAGACUUUGAUAAAACCUGACGAAAUUUAUGAUUGAAAAAUUAUGUGUCCUAUAAGAUAUAUAAUAAAAUUAAUUAUUGACUUUGACUUAGAUUUUAUUCCACACCAAACAUGGGUGGAGAGAACUUUGCCCACAUAGCUGAUAUUUCGAAAAGCAGAAAUAACUUGAAACUCCUAAGCCUAUGGCUUCCUUUUUCCUUGUUAUUUCUCUUCAAUAAGACUGCAUCUGUAGGGAAUAAUGGUCUGCUACUUGAGAUCUCUGUUUCUCUCGUCCGUAGCAAGAAAACUUAACCAUGCUGAUAAGGCAUUAAUUUUGCAAGAUUUCAUGUCUCUCAGAAAAAAAGAUGAGAAAACAUACCAAGGCACUACAUGGCAGAUUAAGUUUAAUCUAGACAUGGUCAACCCACGUGGAACAUAUAACUUGAGAUUGGCUCUUGCAUCUGCAACUCAAGCCAAAUUAGAGGUCAGCACGUGCAUUUUUCAUCUUAUCGCCGAAUUACAUCAUAUAUUGAGAAUGAUGAAUAAUGCUAUUUAUGAACAUUUGUAGGUUCGAGUGAACAUUUCAGACCAUAAUCCACCACUAUUUUCGAGCGGCAUAAUAGGAAAUGAUAACGCAAUAGCGAGAUACGGGAUUCAUGGUCUCUAUUGGCUCUUUAAUGUGGACAUAAGAGGUACUCUACUCGUUCGAGGGAACAACGCAAUUUAUUUGACACAAGCAAAUGCCACAAGCCCUUUCCAAGGGAUCAUGUAUGAUUAUAUUCGUUUAGAAGGCCCACAGCGUUGAUUUGUCUCUAAAUUGAGGGAAGAUUCAAACUUUAUUUAUACUUCAGAAUUAAUGUCACCUUCUUAAUAAUGAAAUUUUUAAUUUGAAGACAGAUUAAUUCAUGUCCUGUUCUUAGGGUUAUGUCUAUUUUUAUACUAUUGAAUGUUAUGUGAAUAGAGCAUAAAUAUUGGACUCUGGAGUGGGUGUAGAGUGCCUAC